Canis lupus familiaris (dog) is the source of this 933-nucleotide long non-coding RNA. RefSeq lists it as uncharacterized. The transcript is spliced from 7 exons. NCBI's taxonomy places the organism in Eukaryota, Metazoa, Chordata, Mammalia, Carnivora, Canidae. The record is from RefSeq and is a predicted model, not a curated record.
AGCUAAUCAAAAUGAAGACACUGUUAGUUCUCCUCUUCAAGUCAGCCUUCUUAAAGAUGAUUCACAAUUACAAGACUCAACCAUUGUCAACAAUUUUAUUGUCAAAGUCAUUGGACAAAGGAUAUUGUUUUAGAUUGAAAAAACCUGGUCAGCUUAAUUAAUCCUAUCUUUAAAAAGGAAAGGGGAAAAAAAACCACUUUAUCUUAAUACCAAACCAUUUUGAAAGUCAUCCAGGAUUUUGAGAAAGCCUACUAGUUUCUAUUUUAUGCAGGGCCAGGCUUGGACUAUUAUGAAUGUUGCUGAACACUGUUAAUCAAGCUUACACAGCUAUUUUGAUGGCAAACAAUUAGAACUCUGCAGCUCUACCUUGCAAUUAGCUUCAGGGAUAUGGACCUCAGCACCAUAAUAAUGAAAGAGACCUCCUUCAAGCACGAAUGUUCACCUUGGAGAAAGACAGCUGUCAUGUUGUGAGGUAGCCCUAUAGAGAUGCCCACUUGAGUGAACUUAUAAGAUCUGCUAAGGCCUGCUAACAACCAACAUUGCUGUCACCAAAUUUCAUCAGCCAACUAUCUGCUAUGGCCUGUCAAACAGAAUCCACGUGCAUGAUCUGGAUUUUGUUGACACACAAGCUUGUCUUCAUCCAUCCUCCAUGCUAGAAGACAUUAAAGAACACUGCUGGUUAAGUGACCUGCAACCCCUUAUUGGAAUCUCUGGGACAGAGGACUUGCUGCCUCUUGAGGAAAUAAACCUAUAGAGAAAAAAAGACAUGUUUUAUGAGUAAGGGUCUCACUAUUUUGUGAAAGAACUAAAAAAGAAAGUGGAUAUUUGUAUCACAUGGAAAAAAAAGAAAGUGUACUAAAUUCCUAACAAUCACCUUCUUGUCAAAAGAUGUAAGAAAAAUUAAAAUGUAAACAUCUGUACUUUCAAAAUUAA